GGGCGCGGAUGGACGCCGGUGUGUCUCCCGGUCUUCAAAACCGGUGUGAAUGGCGCAGAACCGUUUGGGUGGGUUCGACUCCCACACGCGCUC
Non-coding RNA from Anaerotruncus colihominis DSM 17241, 93 nucleotides. The record is from Rfam. Lineage: Bacteria; Bacillati; Bacillota; Clostridia; Eubacteriales; Oscillospiraceae.